RNAcentral lists this ribosomal RNA (525 nucleotides) under uncultured Gram-positive bacterium. RNAcentral describes it as "bacterial SSU rRNA". It matches the Rfam family "Bacterial small subunit ribosomal RNA", at positions 527 to 1063 of the family's 1533-position model. The record is from RNAcentral.
AUAGGGGGCAAGCGUUAUCCGGAAUUAUUGGGCGUAAAGGUUGCGUAGGCGGCCAUUUAAGUCCUUGGUGUAAGUGCAGCGCUCAACGCUGUGAUGCUAAGGAAACUGGUGUGUCUUGAGUGAGAUAGAGGCAAGUGGAAUUCCAUGUGUAGCGGUAAAAUGCGUAAAUAUAUGGAGGAACACCAGUGGCGAAGGCGGCUUGCUGGGUCUUCACUGACGCUGAGGCACGAAAGCGUGGGGAGCGAACAGGAUUAGAUACCCUGGUAGUCCACGCCGUAAACGAUGAGUACUAAGUGUUGGAGAAAUUCAGCGCUGUAGUUAACGCAAUAAGUACUCCGCCUGAGUAGUACGUACGCAGGUAUGAAACUCAAAGGAAUUGACGGGACCCCGCACAAGCGGUGGAUCAUGUUGUUUAAUUCGAAGAUACGCGAAAAACCUUACCAGGUCUUGACAUCCCUUGCAAUGCUGUAGAGAUACAGUGGAGGUUAUCAAGGAGACAGGUGCUGCAUGGUUGUCGCAGCUCCG